RNAcentral lists this unclassified non-coding RNA (468 nucleotides) under Hevea brasiliensis (rubber tree). The record is from RNAcentral. Lineage: Eukaryota; Viridiplantae; Streptophyta; Magnoliopsida; Malpighiales; Euphorbiaceae.
AAAAGGUUGUCUGCGAUCCUUCCUACUUGCCCACCAAGGUGAGGAAGGUUGGUAAGGUUGCUAGGGCCAUUGCCAUAAUGAGCCACACAAUACCAAACACCAAUGAUUCCCAUUCGGUGCAGAUUAUUAUACCGCAGAAGCAGUUGGGUCGCAGAUCGGACAUGUAUGUUUUCUGUUGCUCUUACUCUCACAAUGUUGCUCCAAGAGGCAAGUUUAUUGCUUUUGUUACCACAGAAGCUGAGACCGAUCAUCCAGAGUCAGAACUAAAGCCAGGAAUUGACCUGUUGGGGGCCGUUGAUGAGAUAUUUUUUGAUACAUACGACAGAUAUGAGCCAGUCAAUGAACCAUCUCUGGACAAUUGCUUUAUAUCCAUGAGUUACGAUGCUACAACACAUUUCGAGUCAACUGUUGUUGAUGUGCUCAACAUGUAUACAAUGAUAACUGGCAAGGCUGUUGACCUGAGUGUGG